CACCCGUUUAGGUUCGGUUAAUAACACUUUUGGUUCAUAUAUGUUUUAUAACACCCAAGAAAACACAUUCAAGUUUUUUUUUUUUUUUUUCUGCUUGAUCUGCAUUUGUUCUGCUUGAUCUGCGUUUUGGGUUUGAUCUGCGUUUUCUUUAUCUGCAUACCAUUCGAAGCCUAUAUGUUUUAACAUAAUUUUUACCCAACACCGUCUCACAUAUCCAUCCUUCACACAGCCGGUCCAAAACCACCAUUGUAAGGCCUUGCCUCCCUCUUUUUUUUUAAUAUUAGGAGGUUCGGAGCUUCGGCCUGUAAUCUUCUUUAAACCCGAAAUACCAGCAUGUUAUAUUAAUUUCGUCCUAGGAGUCAUUCGAACCGGGGAUUUUUGACACAAUGGUCAUGGUCCUUCCCUCCCUCUUCACACCAUAUUACAGGCGGUUCCAGCUUGCCUCUUUUUCUCUACUGGUCUGGAAUAGAGAAACCACCUUCUCUAGCUUUGACUGCAACUUUAGUUUCACCGUCUGGACUUGUAUUGCUGCUAGAUGUUCUAUUCAACUUGCUCGUGAAUGGACAAGGACAAUCAAUCACAUGCAAGCAACUCUUGGAGGUAAAUACAAACAAUGACUCACUCUUUUCUGUUGAAUAUCUCUAUGUAAUCUGGACUGAGAGGAAUGUGCAGUUGCAUAGAUUCACUUUUUGAUCAAAUUAACGAUUCAAUUAUCUCCAGAGAGUGUCAGAUCAUUGAUCACAUCUGAAGAUUUAAAGACUCCAACACAACAACUUUGUCCAGGUUAAUGACUGGCUUCUAAUU
RNAcentral lists this long non-coding RNA (804 nucleotides) under Brassica napus (rape). Its description in RNAcentral is "long non-coding RNA (BNAP_LNC013164)". Lineage: Eukaryota; Viridiplantae; Streptophyta; Magnoliopsida; Brassicales; Brassicaceae. The record is from RNAcentral.